RNAcentral lists this ribosomal RNA (446 nucleotides) under uncultured bacterium. RNAcentral's name for it is "partial 16S ribosomal RNA". It matches the Rfam family "Bacterial small subunit ribosomal RNA", at positions 338 to 795 of the family's 1533-position model. The record is from RNAcentral.
CCUACGGGCGGCUGCAGUCGAGAAUCAUUCACAAUGGGGGAAACCCUGAUGGUGCGACGCCGCGUGGGGGAAUGAAGGUCUUCGGAUUGUAAACCCCUGUCAUGUGGGAGCAAAUUAAAAAGAUAGUACCACAAGAGGAAGAGACGGCUAACUCUGUGCCAGCAGCCGCGGUAAUACAGAGGUCUCAAGCGUUGUUCGGAAUCACUGGGCGGAAAGCGUGCGUAGGCUGUUUCGUAAGUCGUGUGUGAAAGGCGCGGGCUCAACCCGCGGACGGCACAUGAUACUGCGAGACUAGAGUAAUGGAGGGGGAACCGGAAUUCUCGGUGUAGCAGUGAAAUGCGUAGAUAUCGAGAGGAACACUCGUGGCGAAGGCGGGUUCCUGGACAUUAACUGACGCUGAGGCACGAAGGCCAGGGGAGCGAAAGGGAUUAGAUACCCGGGUAGUC